This 93-nucleotide transfer RNA is filed under the name Streptomyces poonensis. RNAcentral's name for it is "tRNA-Pro". The record is from RNAcentral. Lineage: Bacteria; Bacillati; Actinomycetota; Actinomycetes; Kitasatosporales; Streptomycetaceae.
CGGCGAGGGCGCCCCGGGUACGGGUGACGACGGCCUUGGAGGCCGCCCAACUCCAGUAACCGAUGGGCUGCUGGAUCAGUUCGGCGUCGCCGU